Molecule: ribosomal RNA, 1431 nt
Filed under: Schwiebea pseudotsugae
Lineage: Eukaryota; Metazoa; Arthropoda; Arachnida; Sarcoptiformes; Acaridae
Description: eukaryotic LSU rRNA
Rfam family: Eukaryotic large subunit ribosomal RNA
Source: RNAcentral
GGGAUCAGCCCAGCGCCAAGUCCUGACACUUGACGUGUUCAGGAGAUGCGGCGUUAGUGUUUUGGUGCAUCGUGUGCUGCCUCGUGUCUCAAGUUCCUUUGACAGGGACUCCCAGAGUGGGUGCUAGGCCCAUAGAGACUGCGAAGCUGGCACACGCAAACCAUUACAUUUUAGAGUCAGGUUGCUUGAGAGUGCAGCCUAAAGCAGGUGGUAAACUCCAUCUAAGGCUAAAUAUUACAGCGAGACCGAUAGCAAACAAGUACCGUGAGGGAAAGUUGCAAAGAACUUUGAAGAGAGAGUUCAAAAGGACGUGAAACCACUAACAGGUAAACGGGUGGAACCACGAAGUGUGCCUGAAGAGCGAUUCAGUUAUCAUUGUCCGGUUAGUGGCGCUUGCAUACGGGUACUUCACGUGCUGUGCAAGUGUUGCUUACAAUCGGCAAUGGCAAUGCAUUUCGUCUCUUCAGUGGCUAAAGCCACGUCCGAUUAGGUGGCUGGAACGGCCGUAGUGAGCUGUCUCGAGGAAGGUGGCCGUUAUAUGCUUCGGCGUUUAUCGGUGUUAUAGCCUCGGGGCCGUGCCGUUACCUAGCGUGCUGAUCGGUGCAAGUUCUCCAUACCUGGAGUAUUGCAAGUAAUGGGUCAGGGCGCUUGCUGAUGCCAAGGCGGCUGCGUUAGUUUGCGCUUUCGUUUCUUCGGGAAUGUAAAGACAGAUUAGCGUCGGCUGUCUCGGUGUUGUUUGCGUGUUCUGGCUUGUGCAAACAGUGGUGCGAGUAGGUCGGUCUCCACCCGACCCGUCUUGAAACACGGACCAAGGAGCCUACCAUAUACGCGAGUCGCUCGGUCUUGUUUAGGCCWGGGAGGCGCAAUGAAAGUAAAGCCACGAGGCUGUGCGCAUUCGUGCUAUCAGUCGCAGUGGCGGCCCGCCUGCUUCCUUUAUCGGGGAUAUGGCGGAGCUGGAGCGUAUACGGUGGUACCCGAAAGAUGGUGAACUAUGCCUGGGCAAGACGAAGCCAGAGGAAACUCUGGUGGAGGUCUGUAGCGAUUCUGACGUGCAAAUCGAUCGUCAGACCUGGGUAUAGGGGCGAAAGACUAAUCGAACCAUCUAGUAGCUGGUUCCCUCCGAAGUUUCCCUCAGGAUAGCAGGCGCUUGUUGUAAUCAGUUUCAUCCGGUAAAGCUAAUGAUUAGAGGUCUUGGGGCCGAAACGGCCUCAACCUAUUCUCAAACUUUAAAUGGGUGAGAUGUAUGACUUGCUUAAUUGAAGCCAUACAUUUGAAUGGAAGUGCCUAGUGGGCCAGCUUUGGUAAGCAGAACUGGCGCUGUGGGAUGAACCAAACGUCGAGUUAAGGCAUCAAAUGCGUACGCUCAUCAGAUCCCAGAAAAGGUGUUGGUUGCUAUAGACAGCAGGACGGUGGCCAUGGAAGUCGGAAUCC